This 253-nucleotide ribosomal RNA is filed under the name uncultured bacterium. RNAcentral's name for it is "partial 16S ribosomal RNA". It matches the Rfam family "Bacterial small subunit ribosomal RNA", at positions 524 to 776 of the family's 1533-position model. The record is from RNAcentral.
UACGUAGGGGGCAAGCGUUGUCCGGAAUCAUUGGGCGUAAAGAGCGCGUAGGCGGUCCGGUAAGUCGGUUGUGAAGACUGGGGGCUCAACCCUCAGAGGCCGACCGAUACUGCUGGGCUAGAGUCCGGAAGAGGCGAGUGGAAUUCCUGGUGUAGCGGUGAAAUGCGCAGAUAUCAGGAGGAACACCAAUGGCGAAGGCAGCUCGCUGGGACGGUACUGACGCUGAGGCGCGAAAGCCAGGGGAGCAAACGGG